AACGAACGCUGGCGGCAUGCCUAACACAUGCAAGUCGAACGAGACCUUCGGGCCUAGUGGCGCACGGGUGCGUAACGCGUGGGAACCUGCCCUUAGGUUGGGAAUAACUCCCCGAAAGGGGUGCUAAUACCGGAUAAUGUCCUCGGACCAAAGAUUUGUCGCCUUUGGAUGGGCCCGCGUUGGGUUAGCUAGUUGGUAGGGUAAAAGCAUACCAAGGCGACGAUCCAUAGCUGGUCUGAGAGGAUGAGCAGCCACACUGGGACUGAGACACGGCCCAGACUCCUACGGGAGGCAGCAGUGGGGAAUAUUGGACAGUGGGCGAAAUCCAGAUCCAGCAAUGCCGCGUGAGUGAUGAAGGCCUUAGGGUUGUAAAGCUCUUUUACCCGUGAUGAUAAUGACAUUACCGGGAGAAUAAGCUCCGGCUAACUCCGUG
RNAcentral lists this ribosomal RNA (433 nucleotides) under uncultured bacterium. Its description in RNAcentral is "partial 16S ribosomal RNA". It matches the Rfam family "Bacterial small subunit ribosomal RNA", at positions 29 to 507 of the family's 1533-position model. The record is from RNAcentral.